Molecule: ribosomal RNA, 478 nt
Filed under: uncultured bacterium
Lineage: Bacteria
Description: partial 16S ribosomal RNA
Rfam family: Bacterial small subunit ribosomal RNA
Source: RNAcentral
GAUGAACGCUGGCGGCGUGCCUAAUACAUGCAAGUCGAGCGAACAGACGAGGAGGUUGCUACUCUGACGUUAACGGCGGACGUAAGAGUAACACGUGGAUAACCUACCUAUAAGACUGGGAUAAGUUCGGGAAACCGGAGCUAAUACCGGGUAAUAUAUUGAACGGCAUGGUUCAAUAGUUAAAGACGGUUUUGCUGUCGCUUGUGGAUGUAUGCGCGGCGCAUCAGCUAGUUGGUAAGGUAGCGGCUUACCAAGGCAACGAUGGGUAGCCGACCUGAGAGGGUGACCGGCAACAUUGGGACUGAGAGACGGCCCAGACUCCUACGGGAGGCAGCAGUGGGGAAUAUUGCACAAUGGGCGCAAGCCUGAUGCAGCAACGCCGCGUGCGGGAUGACGGCCUUCGGGUUGUAAACCGCUUUCAGCAGGGACGAAGCUUUUUGUGACGGUACCUUCAGAAGAAGCACCGGCUAACUACGUG